AAUGAUCCUUCCGUAGGGGAACCUGCGGAAGGAUCAUUAUUGAUUGGUCGAAAGACCUUAUCAGAUUCUACCACCUCUGUGAACCGUUGACCUCCGGGUUAAUAAUCAAACAUCAGUGUAACGAACGUAAGAGUAUCUUAAUUAAACAAAACUUUUAACAACGGAUCUCUUGGCUCUCGCAUCGAUGAAGAACGCAGCGAAAUGCGAUAAGUAAUGUGAAUUGCAGAAUUCAGUGAAUCAUCGAAUCUUUGAACGCACCUUGCGCCUUUUGGUAUUCCGAAAGGCAUGCCUGUUUCAGUGUCAUGAAAUCUCAAUCUAAUAUGUUUUCUGAACAUGUUAGGCUUGGACUUGGGUGUCUGCCAGUGAUGGCUCACCUCAAAUGACUUAGUGGAACAUCCCACAUCAGUGUUAGACGUAAUAAGUUUCGUCUCUCCUUGUGGUGAUGACUGCUCAGAACCUGCCAUCGCGCAUCUUUUGACUUUGACCUGAAAUCAGGUAGGGCUACCCGCUGAACUUAAGCAUAUCAAUAAGCGGAGGAA
RNAcentral lists this ribosomal RNA (539 nucleotides) under Papiliotrema flavescens. RNAcentral's name for it is "eukaryotic LSU rRNA". The stretch from base 150 to 303 matches the Rfam family "5.8S ribosomal RNA". The record is from RNAcentral. Lineage: Eukaryota; Fungi; Basidiomycota; Tremellomycetes; Tremellales; Rhynchogastremaceae.